GUAUAGAUUUCAUAAGGCACAAACAUUCUAUUAACAUACAUUGGAGUAAAUGCAGAAGCAACAUAGACCAUGGAACAUCCAGGGCCUACAAAAGGUGCACAGGUGGAGAUAUAUAAAGAUGACAAGGUGUGCACAUGCUCCCUAGAGAACCAGCAACAACCCCAUCAGGUUUAUUUCAAUAAUGAUCCUUCCGCAGGUUCACCUACGGAAA
Molecule: unclassified non-coding RNA, 211 nt
Filed under: uncultured fungus
Lineage: Eukaryota; Fungi
Description: sequence contains ITS1
Source: RNAcentral